This 1612-nucleotide long non-coding RNA is filed under the name Bemisia tabaci. Its description in RNAcentral is "lncRNA ENSSSA1NGG009488". Lineage: Eukaryota; Metazoa; Arthropoda; Insecta; Hemiptera; Aleyrodidae. The record is from RNAcentral.
UAAUGCUGCAGUUGUAACCAGAUAAGUAGAUGAAAGAGCGCAGUGGGAUAGACCAAAAUAAAAUAUUCGACCUACCGCCUGGACUAAACUGAAGAAGAUAAGUCCUCUCCAAAAUUUUUUUGAGGAAUUUUCUUAGACAUUUUUGUCUAAACUGAAGGAUAAGACUUUUAUUCAAAUAUCAUUAUACUUUCGUACAGUUUGAGAGGAGCAGUUUAGCAAAAUGUCAUUGACGCCUGUGAUGAUGUUUAGGAUGUUCUGAGUUUUGUUGUAGAACGGUAAAUUCUGAACGCUUACACACAACAAACUUUAAUACUUAUUGCUACCUAGUGCUGAUCACUCUCAUGGAUGGGGCACAUAAUAAUAUUCAAAUAAUCAAAGAUAUGGCGCCUUAACGAUUUUAAGCACUGUUGUCAGAUCCUAUGAAUCAGUUGUCCGUAAAGCUAAAAAACGCAUCAAUUCAUUGAACGAUUCAACACUAACAUUGUUUUAAAUGGUUCAUUUUCUCUUUAAUUUUUCUUUUAAAAUUCACUUCCAUGUUGAUACUCAAGUCUCCAAGUAUAUUACUGAAUACGCGUGGCGAGUACACUUGGCAACAAUGGCAAUAUUCCCUAUUGUUUAUUUAGAAUAAUCUUUGUUUACAUUAUCACGCAUGUUUCGUUCUGUCGGCAGUCGGCAACCAAUCUUGUGCCAUUUUCGUAGUAUUUUCCGAGGAAUUUUUGCAUUUACACUCAGAUUUUAAUCCAAUUUGACUAGUAUUUGUUGAGUAGGGAAUUAUUCCCUAAAAUAUUUCAUGAUUUGUACCAUCAAGUACCAUCUAGUAUUGAUUCACCCAGGUUACCGGAUGGACAUCAUGUCCUCUUCAUUCUCCUCCCAUCUUCAUUAACCAUUUAAUCCAAUGGCGGUUCCAGUCAUGGCAAUGACUAAAGUGGGAAUUUCAGAAGCUAGUCAGUUGUAUCCUAAACCUGUGAUACUUGAGAACAUUGCGAUGAAAAAGCCUAAUCUCUCAUUCCUUGGAAAUCUUCUAACUCCAAAAAUCAUUCUGGAACGGAUCAACAACAGACAAAAUUUCUGUAUUGUAUCUGGUAAGCAUACUAAGCUAAGAAAAUAUGAUGUAACAGAAAUUGAAGAAAGCUUUGAAGAUCAAAGUUUGAAUAAAGAUAUUCCUAGAUUACCAUCAAAUGCUGAGCAAGAAAAAAUCAACCAUGUAGACUACACAGUCAAUGUUACAGUUGACACAAGGAAUAAAGAAACAGAAGAAGCUAAGAUGACUAUUCUCACAGUUCAUGGUGAAAAUGCGUCUCUCAGGGAAGUGAUUUUGGAAAGUAAGUCUAGUCCUGAUACUGCCCCAGGCUCUUCAGGAGCCAUUACUUCUCCACAGAAUGGUUUGUGUAUGGAGGUAGAAGAAAUUGGAGGUGAUAGUGAUGUAGGCCACUUUUCAUCAUUGACUAAAGAUACAUUUUUUAGUCUUGAAAAGGAAAAGUGACAGUUGAUAAUAAGUCCCUGACUGAAAGUGAACAUUGCGUUAAUGAUUCGCCUCCUACAAGUGGCAUCAUCAAAUCAAGCCGCAAGAGAGGUUUAAGAAGGCUGGAAAAGCAGUCCUACCGUUUCCAGU